RNAcentral lists this ribosomal RNA (270 nucleotides) under uncultured archaeon. Its description in RNAcentral is "partial 16S ribosomal RNA". It matches the Rfam family "Archaeal small subunit ribosomal RNA", at positions 477 to 747 of the family's 1478-position model. The record is from RNAcentral.
CAGCACCUCAAGUGGUCAGGAUGAUUAUUGGGCCUAAAGCAUCCGUAGCCUGCUUUGUUAGUUUCCGGUUAAAUCCAUACGCUCAACGUAUUGGCUGCCGGGAAUACUGCAAAGCUAGGGAGUGGGAGAGGUAGACGGUACUCGGUAGGAAGGGGUAAAAUCCUUUGAUCUAUUGAUGACCACCUGUGGCGAAGGCGGUCUACCAGAACACGUCCGACGGUGAGGGAUGAAAGCUGGGGGAGCAAACCGGAUUAGAGACCCGCGUAGUCC